Long non-coding RNA from Marmota monax (woodchuck), 1422 nucleotides. RefSeq lists it as uncharacterized. The record is from RefSeq and is a predicted model, not a curated record. Lineage: Eukaryota; Metazoa; Chordata; Mammalia; Rodentia; Sciuridae. The transcript is spliced from 3 exons.
CCCCUUUUGUUUGGUACUGGGGAUGCUCAACCACUGAGCCACAUCCCCAGCUCUUUUUUGUAUUUUAUUUAGAGCCAGGGCCUCACUGAGUUACUUAGCGCCUCAUUAAGUUGCUGAGGCUGGCUUUGAACUCGCAAUCCUCCUGCCUUGGCCUCUUGAGCUGCUGGGAUCACAGGUGUGCUAUCCCUCCUAAGUAAAACUUGCUUCCUACUCUUGCCUCAUUGUUUCUCGGUGUUUAAUCUUCAACAGCAGGGGAGCGAAGACCCAUUCCUGAUCUCCGGGACCAGUAUCUUCCACAGCCUCCAGGAUGGCCCCAGUGAUGCUUGCCUCUUGGUGUCCUGUCUAGAACUGUCCCCUCCCACACCAAAUUUUAGGCAGCCUGUGGGGCUAACAGGAUGCUGGGGACAGGAUAAUAGGACUUCCAAAUUUAGGUCACAGAGUACCCUGUAGCUUCUACCUUGGUGUUCUGAAAAGUCACCUGCCGCGUGGAGAGGCCCAGCUGGAAAGGGACCAAGGCCCACCUGCCUGGUAGCCGUGGGAGUGCACCAUCUUAGAAGCAGGUGGCCAGCCCCAGUGCUGCCUGUAUAACUGCAGCCCUGGCUGAUGGCUUAAGUGAAACCUGAGAGUCCGCCAGCCAGAACCAGCCAGUCAGGCCAGCCCCAGAUUCCUGGCCCACAGAAGCUGUGGAACACAAACGUUUCUUGCUUUAAGCCAUGAGGUUGUGGCAUUGUUUAUUGUACAGUAAGGACAGCUGUAACACAAGAAGAUGCUGCUAUGACCAUGCCAUUGACGGAUGAGGAAACCCAGGCUCACUGAAGGGCCCUGGGGUGCCCCAUGGUGGAGACUCCUUAGGAAUUCGCCCCUUCUUGCCUCUGUCCCAUCUCCUGCCGGUGUUCCCUCCUUCUGGGCCUCACUACUAUUCUCAGUUCCUGAACUUCCCCAUCAAAGCCCUGAGCACACAGCAGGCACUCAAUAAAUACUCAGCAGGAUGCUCUACACCUGUGGAGUAACUUCCUGGGUGUGGCCACGGUUCAGGCUGGGAAAUGGGGUCACCCCUGCUGAAGCAACACCCUCUGAGAGCUGGCCUGACACCCGGCUUUCUGAAGGAUCUGGAAACACAUCUUGUCUACAUGGGAAGAUGAUGGACGAGCUGCUAUUCAUGACUCCUAAGUAACAUGCCCCUGGAUUUUAAUGUUGGCACCCAACUCAAAAACUAGUUUUUAAAAAUAGAGUUUUGCAAAAUACCUCUGAGGACCUGUUCAGACCCCCAGUUUGCUCCCCCAGCUCCAGAACAAAGAAGCAGGACACCCAGAAUUAUUAUACAAUUCUGUAUUUAGCGACUUGUUUACAGAAUGUGUUCCUUUUUUUUAAAAUUUUAAACAAAGUUCAUCAAUCUCUCAUAGAAACAGUUUUGUGGGGUUU